GAUUUUCAUUCAAAAUUAAAAAGUUAAUUUAUCUUAGCUAGUUUAGAUAAUUUCAGUUAAAAAGAAAUUUAGAGGUAUAUUAAAUGGCCUGCCUACUCCUUUGAGUCAAUAAUUUAUACAACUGGGGGCCUUGUAUAGCUGCGGGCUCCUUUGAGUCAAUAAUUUAUAUAACUGGGGGCCUUGUAUAGCUGCGGGCUCUUAACGCUUUCAAGUGUGGUUCAUGAAGCCGAGCUCUGGGCCUAAAAAACUUGGGUUUGAAACAAAUUAAGACGAUGCAUUUCUCUCUCUAUCUUUUGUCUAAUCACACCCCACUAAUAGAAUAGUUCAUUAAAAAUUCUAUUUUUCUUCUCCUAAACUUCAGAUAGAUUAGUAAUUUGGACAGUUAAAUUCACUAGUCCUUCCUGCAACAGAGAAAAAAAAAAUCAUUAUAUCCUCUCUAGUUUACCUUCCAUCACUUAGGAUCCUUAACUAUCUUUUAAUUGUUAUGAUUGUCUUAAUAAAAAACUAAUUUAACUAUUUUACCAUUGUAUCGUAAAAUGACUAAAUUGUCCAAAAAAAUUAGACCUAAGCACAUGAUAAAAGUCCAAAGAAAAAUUUGAGAGAUUUAAUUUGUUAAUUAUGAAAACUGAUGACUUAUUUGAAUUUUCAAAAAACAUGAAAGAAAAUAAUGUAAAUUUUCACAUUACCAGUGGGGUGUGAUUACACAAAAUAUGGGGUGGAAUUAUCACCAUGCUUGUAAGAGAUACAAAGUGGUUCCAUAAAACUCUAUUUAAGAAAUUAUUUUUUCUGUAUAUUUUUUAUGUUAAAAUGAAUAGAUUCAAAAUGAAUUUCCUUUUACUUUUGCUUUGGGUACAUACUACAAAUCUUUUAGGAAAGGAAGAUUAUAAGUUUCAUUCUUUAUAAAUAUCAUAUUAACUGCCUACAAUCCUACUAAAUUUUUAAUUAUCUGUUUUAUCCCUUUCAUUAAGAGAUAGCAUAUAAAGUUAAUAUUUUUUUUAUUUACUUCUACCCCUUCUUAAAAGAUUUUAUGACAUUUCUUGUUGGAGUUUUAUUGGUAUUUCAAACCACUAAUAUCCCACAUUUGAGGGAAGUGAGAGCAAUCAUCUUUUUAUUUGAAUUGAAAUUAGUCAUGUGUUUGAUUUAAGUAUAAAGUAGAAUUGAAUAAGUGAAAUCUACAUGUGAUUUGGAUUAUUUAAGUUGAAUUAAAUUACGAAACAUAUGGAUGACUAAUUCAAAUUAAAUAAGGAAAGUGGUGACUACCUCUCCUUAAGAAAAGGAUUAUAGAGGAUUUAUCUAUAUAAGGGAGACAUACAAAGCCUUCAAGGCACUGGUACUACAUCUCCUUCUAUCUCAUAUUUUCUUAUCAAUUUUCUCUUCCUAUUUAAAUCUGUUGCACUUAGAGUGCGACCUCACAACAGUUUCAUUGAAUCUUGGAGGUCAAUCUGUUUUAUUUAUGUUCUUUUUGCAUCGAGAAAUCUUCCUUAAAGGAGCAAAAAUUAGUCAACAAGAUAGUGCUUCACAUAAGUCUUGACAAACUUAUAGUUGCUACCAGAUGAACAAUGUUGUAAAUAAUAUCAAACGGACAAUACUAGUGAACGGUGAUGUGAAUAAUACCAACAGCUACUAUUCAUGGAAUUCUAUUCUUCAUGUUUCAUGUUCAUCUUAGUUUAUUGAUAGUCAAUGUUUAUUGAUUGAUGUUACUUAUUCGGCUAGUUUUGGAGUUCAAAAAGGCAAUAUUCACUCAUGUUUCCAACAUUUCUAAGUAGGUUGAUGUCAAAAUUAAAGAGAAGAUGAAAAUGAUUAAUCAUAUGUAACUACCAAGAGAAUGCUUGCAUUUUUCAUUUUCUUCUAGUCCCAAUGACUUUUGUUAGAUUUUAAUUUAAACUUUAAAAUAUUACACCUUGAAUGACUAUUUGUUUUUCUUUAUUUUCACAAUUUAUUCUGUUAUCUCUUAACGGAAGGGAUGAAACAUGCAAGUAAACAUAUAGGAUGAAUGUAAGUGGUAAAUAUUGUUAGCCUAAAGGGCUAUACAUAAUAUAAUUUUGAUGAUAACAAACAUGUGUCUUAAGUAAAAAUAAUAAAUAUUGUAUUUCACAUUUUCACUAGUUUUUGAAGGAUAAUAUUUAUGCAAGUGAUCAAGUGAAAUCAAGAUUGAAGACACUCAACGGACAACGGCAAAAUCAAGAAUAAAGUUUAGAGCUCAACGGAUAAAUUAUUGCGACAAAUUCUUGUUAAGCCAGUAUGAUUUAAUUAAUGCAUGAUUUAGCAUUUGAGAAGCUCAAGAGAUUAAUUUAAUUAAAUACUUUUUAUAAACUAAAAUGUUUUAUUUUUAUAAAGUAAAGUAUUUUGUGGAUUUAAGUAAUUCGAACUUAAAUGCUAAGAUUUGAAAUCUUUGAUUUUAAAUAAGUAUUAAAUUUCGGAGUUGGACGUUUUUAUAAACAUUUGAAAUGUUUUGGGCCAUACUAAAUUUAUGAAUAUUUUGGACUAAAGUGAAAGGUUUUGAGAACUUUGAAAAAUAUGGGUAUUAUGUUGAAAAGGACCUUUGUGUGACAUAAUAAAAUCUUUGGGGCCAUAUCAUAAUUUCAAAAAGUUUGGGAAAGACAACCAUUCUUAGGAAGUUCUGAAAUUGGACCUAUUUAUAAAGUUUUAUGACGUUUUGGGUUAUAAUAUAAUUAUAGAAAAUUUUGGGUCAAAGUGUAAUUUCAGUGAAUAGAGUUACUGUAGCAAAAUUCAAAAAUAACGGUAAUAUCACUGUUCCUAAGCGGCUAGCCAGAUAAUCAAGCGGCUAACCGCUUGAGCACGGGAAUUUACCUAUAACUGCUAGUUUUUGGGCUUUCACUAUAAAAACUCAACUCAAACUUCAUUCUAAGGUCUAAUGCACGCAAAUAUAAGAUCAUACAACAUAUAUUGAGCUUUCAAAACGCAAAUCAUCAUUGAUUGA
RNAcentral lists this long non-coding RNA (2941 nucleotides) under Citrus x clementina. Its description in RNAcentral is "Citrus clementina (C. clementina) long non-coding RNA (CCLE_LNC000285)". Lineage: Eukaryota; Viridiplantae; Streptophyta; Magnoliopsida; Sapindales; Rutaceae. The record is from RNAcentral.